Oncorhynchus tshawytscha (Chinook salmon) is the source of this 409-nucleotide long non-coding RNA. The record is from Ensembl. Lineage: Eukaryota; Metazoa; Chordata; Actinopteri; Salmoniformes; Salmonidae.
GAGAAAUGGUGGGGUUUCUCUGCAUUCUCCUCUCUCUGACUGCUUUAUAAGUGGAGGGUUUCAGUGGGGGAGGAUCUUCCAUUGCUUCUCAGUGUGGUUUAAUGCUACCUGGUAAUAGUUUUCAUGGCAGCACAGGGCAGAUCUCUUCCUCACCAUACACUGUCACUGUCAACCAGACCACCUACCAGCCAGGAGACACCAUCCAAGUGACUCUGUCAGGAACCUUCACCUAUAAAGGGUUUCUUCUGGAGGCCCAUUAGGAAGGACAGAACAAGGCUGUGGGAACGUUCUCUCUCGGCAGUGGAACUGGGAUCGUUUUUGUGCCUUGCAAUGGGAUCGCAGCCUCUGGGGUGAGUCAAAGCAACAAUCAACCUAGAUCAUCAGUAACAGUCACCUGGACAGCACCAUC